AUGACCUCAGUUCCAAAGGACAAGUUGGCUACUCUCAAGGCUUACAGGAGAGCAAAAGGGUUGUGUUAUAUAUGUGGUGAGCGAUGGGGCAAAGACCACAAGUGCAAUAAUACACUACAGCUGCAUGUGGUGCAGGAAUUGUUGGAAGUGUGUGCUACUAAUUCUGUAGACUCGGAUGAUAGUGAAGUCGAUCUGAUGGUCUUAUCUGCGGAAACACAAACAGCUGGCCCGGCUAACAGUGUUAUUCGACUCACUUGUCAAGUUGCAGGACAGGAAGUGAUCUUCUUACUGGACUCUGGCAGCUUGCAUUCAUUCCUUAGUGACAGAUUGGCAAGUCAGUUAGCAGGCCAGCAAAGGUUGAGCAAAAUGCAGUGGGUCCGAAUUGCAGGAGGGGGGCAGCUAGUGUGUUUUGCUUGGAUUCCUAAAUCUGGCUGGUCAGUAGGGGGGCAUCGAUUUGUUACUGAUUUUAAAAUCUUGCCUCUACAACAUUAUGAUGGUAUUAUUGGUAUGGAUUGGCUCUCAGCUCAAGGGACUAUGAGUGUCAAUUGGUUACAAAAGUGGUUAUCCUUUGAUUACAAGGACAGUAAGGUUGUUCUACAAGGAGAUCCUCCAUCUGAGUUUGAAUUCACUAUAGUGGAGUUACAGCUUAUUCGAGAAACACAAGAGACUAAAGUGACAGUACUUGAGGAUGUACCAGAGGAAAUUCAGCAAGUUAUUGCUUCGUUUGCAGAUAUCUUUGAGGAGUCUGCUGGCCUUCCUCCUCGUCGCUCCUGUGAUCACAAAAUACCGCUGGUGGAGGGAGCUCGUCAUGUUAACAUUAGACCAUACAGGUAUUCCCCUGAGCAAAAGACAGAAAUAGAACGACAAGUGAAAGAAAUGCUAGCAUCCGGUGUAAUUUUGCCUAGCACUAGUCCAUUUGCCUCCCCAAUCAUUUUGGUUAAGACAAAGGACGGCACAUGGCGACUCUGUGUUGAUUACAGACAACUGAAAAUGUUGACACUGAAGACUAAAUAUCCUCUGCCCAUGAUAGAUGAAUUGCUCGAUGAAUUAUCAGGCGCCUCAUGGUUUUCCAAAUUGGACCUUCGUGCUGGGUAUCAUCGGAUCCAUUUGGCUCCCGGGGAAGAAUACAAGACGGCCUUUCAUACACAUAAUGGUCACUAUGAGUUUAAUGUGGUAUCAUUUGGGCUGACGGGAGGGCCAUCUAUAUCCCAAGGAGAGAUGAACAUUACUCUAGCGCUUGUGGACCGUGUCUGUGCAGUCGUAUUCUUUGAUGAUAUACUGGUGUUUAGUGCUACCUUAGAGGAACAUGUGCAGCACCUCAAGCAAGUUUUGCAACUACUAAGGCAACAUCAGUGGAGAGUUAAAGAAUCAAAAUGUGCAUUCGCCCAACAUAGCAUAUCCUAUCUGGGCUUUGUGGUCAGUGGGAACGGAGUGUCAAUAGACCUAGCUAAGGUGCAAGCAGUACUUGAGUGGCCAGUGCCCCAAUCUAUUAAGGAGCUUCGAGGGUUUCUUGGACUUGCCGGGUACUACAGGAAAUUUGUGCGCAAUUAUGGUGUUAUCAGUCAGCCCUUGACUCAUCUCCUGCGCAAGAAUGUGCCCUUUAUAUGGUCUACAACAACACAGACUGCUUUUGAAGUGUUAAAAAAAGCUCUAACAUCAGCACUUGUACUUGCUUUGCCAGAUUUCAAGGUUCAGUUUGUGGUUGAAACAGAUGCUAGUGACACUGGGGUAGGUGCCAUGUUGUUAUAG
Molecule: ribosomal RNA, 1749 nt
Filed under: Triticum aestivum (bread wheat)
Lineage: Eukaryota; Viridiplantae; Streptophyta; Magnoliopsida; Poales; Poaceae
Description: partial small subunit ribosomal RNA
Source: RNAcentral